Molecule: ribosomal RNA, 465 nt
Filed under: uncultured bacterium
Lineage: Bacteria
Description: partial 16S ribosomal RNA
Rfam family: Bacterial small subunit ribosomal RNA
Source: RNAcentral
CCUACGUGAGGCAGCAGUGGGGAAUAUUGCGCAAUGGGCGAAAGCCUGACGCAGCGACGCCGCGUGAGGGAUGAAGGUCUUCGGAUCGUAAACCUCUGUCAGCAGGGAAGAACGGUCACUGUGCUAAUCAGCAGUGAAUUGACGGUACCUGCAAAGGAAGCACCGGCUAACUCCGUGCCAGCAGCCGCGGUAAUACGGAGGGUGCGAGCGUUAAUCGGAAUUACUGGGCGUAAAGCGCUCGUAGGCGGUAUGUCAAGUCAAGGGUGAAAUCCCCGCGCUCAACGUGGGAACUGCCUUUGAAACUGGCAAACUGGAGUGUGUGAGAGGAUAGUGGAAUUCCAGGUGUAGGAGCGAAAUCCGUAGAUAUCUGGAGGAACAUCAGUGGCGAAGGCGACUAUCUGGCACAUAACUGACGCUGAGGAGCGAAAGCGUGGGUAGCAAACAGGAUUAGAUACCCCAGUAGUC